ACAAGCGGUGGAUCAUGUUGUUUAAUUCGUAUGAUACGCGAAGAACCUUACCAGGUCUUGACACUCCCCCGCCGAUGCUUUAGAGAUAAAGACGGAGGUAGUUCGGGGAGACAGGUGGUGCAUGGUUGUCGUCAGCUCGUGUCGUGAGAUGUUGGGUUAAGUCCCGCAACGAGCGCAACCCCUAUUGCUAGUUACCAUCAUUAAGUUGGGGACUCUAGCGAGACUGCCAGUGAUAAACUGGAGGAAGGUGGGGAUGACGUCAAAUCAUCAUGCCCCUUAUGACCUGGGCUACACACGUGCUACAAUGGUCGGUACAAAGGGUUGCCAAGCCGCGAGGUGGAGCUAAUCCCAUAAAACCGAUCGUAGUCCGGAUCGCAGUCUGCAACUCGACUGCGUGAAGUCGGAAUCGCUAGUAAUCGUGAAUCAGAAUGUCACGGUGAAUACGUUCCCGGGCCUU
Molecule: ribosomal RNA, 457 nt
Filed under: uncultured Turicibacter sp.
Lineage: Bacteria; Bacillati; Bacillota; Erysipelotrichia; Erysipelotrichales; Turicibacteraceae
Description: bacterial SSU rRNA
Rfam family: Bacterial small subunit ribosomal RNA
Source: RNAcentral